Molecule: ribosomal RNA, 460 nt
Filed under: uncultured bacterium
Lineage: Bacteria
Description: partial 16S ribosomal RNA
Rfam family: Bacterial small subunit ribosomal RNA
Source: RNAcentral
CCUACUGGUGGCAGCAGUGAGGAAUAUUUGUCAAUGGGCGCGAGCCUGAACCAGCCAAGUAGCGUGAAGGAUGACUGCCCUACGGGUUGUACACUUCUUUUAUAAAGGGAUAAAGUGAUGCACGUGUGCCUUUUUGUAUGUACUUUAUGAAUAAGGAUCGGCUAACUCCGUGCCAGCAGCCGCGGUAAUACGGAGGCUCCGAGCAUUAUCCGGAUGUAUUGGGUUUAAAGGGAGCGUAGAUGGGUUGUUAAGUCAGUUGUGAAAGUUUGCGGCUCAAACCUAAACUUGCAAUUGAAACUGGAAGUGUUGAGUACAGUUGAGGUAGGCGGAAUUCGUGGUGUAGCGGUGAAAUGCUUAGAUAUCACGAAGAACUCCGAUUGCGAAGGCAGCUUACUAAGCUGCCACUGACAUUGAUGCUCGAAGGUGUGGGUAUCAAACAGGAUUAGAUACCCCGGUAGUC